GAUGAACGCUGGCGGCGUGCCUAAUACAUGCAAGUCGAGCGAACAGACGAGGAGCUUGCUCCUCUGACGUUAGCGGCGGACGGGUGAGUAACACGUGGAUAACCUACCUAUAAGACUGGGAUAACUUCGGGAAACCGGAGCUAAUACCGGAUAAUAUAUUGAACCGCAUGGUUCAAUAGUGAAAGACGGUUUUGCUGUCACUUAUAGAUGGAUCCGCGCCGCAUUAGCUAGUUGGUAAGGUAACGGCUUACCAAGGCAACGAUGCGUAGCCGACCUGAGAGGGUGAGGGGCACCACUGGAACUGAGACCGGGCCCAGACUCAGGCGGGGGGCAGAAGGAGGAAGUCUUCCGCAAGGGGAGAAGCCCGGACGGAGAAACGCGGGGUGAGUAAUAAGGGUUUUCGUAUUAAAAACCUCUUUUAUUGGGAAAAAAAAAAUGUAAAAGAAACUAUGCGCGUCUGGAGGGACCCUAAUAAAAAACCCAGGACAAACUACGUC
This 497-nucleotide ribosomal RNA is filed under the name uncultured bacterium. RNAcentral's name for it is "partial 16S ribosomal RNA". It matches the Rfam family "Bacterial small subunit ribosomal RNA", at positions 28 to 507 of the family's 1533-position model. The record is from RNAcentral.